Molecule: ribosomal RNA, 496 nt
Filed under: uncultured bacterium
Lineage: Bacteria
Description: partial 16S ribosomal RNA
Rfam family: Bacterial small subunit ribosomal RNA
Source: RNAcentral
GAUGAACGCUGGCGGCGUGCCUAAUACAUGCAAGUCGAGCGAACAGACGAGGAGCUUGCUCCUCUGACGUUAGCGGCGGACGGGUGAGUAACACGUGGAUAACCUACCUAUAAGACUGGGAUAACUUCGGGAAACCGGAGCUAAUACCGGAUAAUAUAUUGAACCGCAUGGUUCAAUAGUGAAAGACGGUUUUGCUGUCACUUAUAGAUGGAUCCGCGCCGCAUUAGCUAGUUGGUAAGGUAACGGCUUACCAAGGCGACGAUGCGUAGCCGACCUGAGAGGGUGAUCGGCCACACUGGAACUGAGACACGGUCCAGACUCCUACGGGAGGCAGCAGUAGGGAAUCUUCCGCAAUGGGCGAAAGCCUGACGGAGCAACGCCGCGUGAGUGAUGAAGGUCUUCGGAUCGUAAAACUCUGUUAUUAGGGAAGGACAAAUGUGUAAGUAACUAUGCACGUCUUGACGGUACCUAAUCAGAAAGCCACGGCUAACUACGU